Molecule: ribosomal RNA, 433 nt
Filed under: uncultured bacterium
Lineage: Bacteria
Description: partial 16S ribosomal RNA
Rfam family: Bacterial small subunit ribosomal RNA
Source: RNAcentral
AACGAACGCUGGCGGCAUGCCUAACACAUGCAAGUCGAACGAGACCUUCGGGUCUAGUGGCGCACGGGUGCGUAACGCGUGGGAACCUGCCCUUAGGUUCGGAAUAACUCCCCGAAAGGGGUGCUAAUACCGGAUAAUGUCUUCGGACCAAAGAUUUAUCGCCUUUGGAUGGGCCCGCGUUGGAUUAGCUAGUUGGUAGGGUAAAAGCCUACCAAGGCGACGAUCCAUAGCUGGUCUGAGAGGAUGAUCAGCCACACUGGGACUGAGACACGGCCCAGACUCCUACGGGAGGCAGCAGUGGGGAAUAUUGGACAAUGGGCGAAAGCCUGAUAAAGCAAUGCCGCGUGAGUGAUGAAGGCCUUAGGGUUGUAAAGCUCUUUUACCCGGGAUGAUAAUGACAGUACCGGGAGAAUAAGCUCCGGCUAACUACGUG